CCUUCGUCGGUGUUUUUGAGGUGUGUUAUCUCUUAAAAACAUUCAAGAUGAGUAGCUCCAGUUCAAAAGCACCUAAGAGAUCGAAAAAUUUCACCGGGCACGAGAAAAGCGAAUUAACCCAAAAAAUUCAAAGGUCGCCAUGAUAUUUUCAUCAUCAUCCAGGCGCGGAAUAAAGUCUCAGGCGCUCGACCCAGUGCUGCCGCGUCGACAAAUAUAUUUUCCUUUUGGACUAUAUCAACAUAAUAUAACAUUUCAAGAUAACUGUGGUUGAAAAAUUAAAAAGGACACCGAGUAUUAUUAUUUGAAGUAAUAUAGUACUGCAAAAAUAGUAUUAUUAUCAGCUGUGAAUACUCCUUACGCGACGCACUGGUGAUGGACCACAUCAAAGAGUCCCCACUGCUCGCCGUAAAACACACCUUACUUCAACUGGGGGACUGCAGCAGUAAGAUAUAAUUCCGCGCAGUCACCAUCAUCAAAUGCAGAUCAUCAUAUUGGUUACUAUCGACAAUGUUGGAAAUCGCCAGUUUAAAACUCAAUAGCACCUUUCAAUUGUGUUUCUGAUAACUUUGUGAUGUUUCCUCAGCUCGAUUUCUAGAGUUAACGAAAGAUGUGAGAAGGUAUCUCUUGCAGGUGUAACCACUAUCUCCAAGAAGAUAUCCUGUUUUAAUUCAUCAUGGACAGAUCCUGGCCAACGGACUAGCAUGUGGCGAAAUAUUUGCGUCACAUCUUGAGAUUAUGUUAAAUAUUUGUGAUCGUUAAUGGUGGAAGUUAAAGUUUGUUGUUGUUCUUGGGCUACUGUUCCUCUGAAAAUUGUUCACGAUGGAUAGUACCAAAGUUAUGGAAAGGUCGAAAAAUUUCACAGCCCAUCAAAAAACUCAGUACAAAUAAUUCUGAGAUAUGCCCAUAUAUUAGAAAACAGAUGCAGUUUCUGUACAAGAAGAGAAUGUUGCUGAGAUCAUGUAAGACGAAUUCAAUGUUACCAUCAUUGAGGGGCCUAGGGAUGUUCAGACUAUCAAAAUUCGACACAAAACUUUAAAAAGGAAAGGGCUGAAAAAAUUAAGUUACAAGCUGGAUCUACAAUAUUUUUAUACAAUGUGGUUAUUAAUUUUUAGAAGGAAGCGUUUAUUUCUAUUAAAACAGACAACAGGGAUGAAGGUAUGAGUGCAGACGUGGGUGAUGGUGAGCUGGAAAUGACAAAUAAAUAUAAUAGAUGAAGAUUUGAUUUUUUACAAAAAAAAGGAAAUCCUGAACCUCAUAGCCCUGCCUCCUCCAUUCCGAACGAGAAAAAUAAAAU
Zophobas morio is the source of this 1294-nucleotide long non-coding RNA. RefSeq lists it as uncharacterized. The transcript is spliced from 4 exons. The record is from RefSeq and is a predicted model, not a curated record. Lineage: Eukaryota; Metazoa; Arthropoda; Insecta; Coleoptera; Tenebrionidae.